Molecule: ribosomal RNA, 253 nt
Filed under: uncultured bacterium
Lineage: Bacteria
Description: partial 16S ribosomal RNA
Rfam family: Bacterial small subunit ribosomal RNA
Source: RNAcentral
UACGUAGGUGGCAAGCGUUGUCCGGAUUUAUUGGGUUUAAAGGGUGCGUAGGCGGGCAGGUAAGUCAGUGGUGAAAUCUCCGAGCUUAACUCGGAAACUGCCGUUGAUACUAUUUGUCUUGAAUACUGUGGAGGUAAGCGGAAUAUGUCAUGUAGCGGUGAAAUGCUUAGAUAUGACAUAGAACACCAAUUGCGAAGGCAGCUUACUACACAGCGAUUGACGCUGAGGCACGAAAGCGUGGGGAUCAAACAGG